UGCCAGCCGCCGCGGUAAUACGGAGGGUGCAAACGUUGCUCGGAAUCAUUGGGCGUAAAGCGCGCGUAGGCGGCUAGGAAAGUUGGAUGUGAAAGCCCCGGGCUCAACCUGGGAAGUGCAUCCAAAACUGCCUGGCUAGAAUCUCGGAGGGGGCCAGAGAAUUCCCGGUGUAGAGGUGAAAUUCGUAGAUAUCGGGAGGAAUACCAGUGGCGAAGGCGCUGGCCUGGACGAUGAUUGACGCUGAGGUGCGAAAGCGUGGGGAGCAAACAGGAUUAGAUA
RNAcentral lists this ribosomal RNA (279 nucleotides) under uncultured bacterium. RNAcentral describes it as "partial 16S ribosomal RNA". It matches the Rfam family "Bacterial small subunit ribosomal RNA", at positions 506 to 784 of the family's 1533-position model. The record is from RNAcentral.